GAGCCUUCACUCCGCUCCCUGGAAUCCACUCCUUAUUUUGCGGUUUCAAGGAAGGUACGAUCCCAGAAAUACAAGCAAGCCUGGAGGUGGUUAGGACAUGAAAGUGAGCAGCAACAAUAAACUCCACGUACCAUCAUGCCUUGCGCGCCUACGUCGGCUGAGAGCAGCAUGUGCUGCGCUGUCCUGCUCCAACUAUGGCACAGUGCUGCUCAGGCUCUUCACAGGAGCGCAUCGUAUCAGCUACAGAGACGCCUGUAGGAGCUCCAGCAGAGACCAUCACUGCACUGGACCACAAGGAGGAAUCAGCUGCUUUUUAUCGCUUAUUGGAAAUAUUCACACUGAUCGAUCUGCUUGUAUUUACCAAAGCAGCAAUCACUUUACGCACGGAUUCUUUGGACGCAGAGAGGAUUAAACGCUGUUACGGCACUGACACACGUGGAGGAGUUAUUGUUAUUAUUAAUUUUACUGGUUAAACUUUAGGAUGGCUGAUGGAUUCAGUGCUCCAGCUGUGAAUUGUGCUGUAGGAUAUAAGGAAAUGCUGUCUCUGACACGGGAUGAGAGGUGUCCAUUUCUCCUGCUGCCCGACUCCUUCUGCUGGACAAGCCGUUUGUCGGACAGACGAGUCUCUUGGGAUACUUUACGCGUGUGGCCAGUGUCAAAGAAGGCCAUGAUAUGAUUUUUGGAAAUGUAUUGCUGUGGAUUUUGGCAAAGACUAAAGGAUUAUCCUGGAAUAUAUUUUGAAAGCGAUGCUUCGUAGAUGUCCUGCAGUUUGGAUAAUGACAUCUCCUCAUCCAGCAGUGAAGGAAUCCACAUUCUUGGAAUGAGAUGUCAACCUUUAAUUGCUUCCCAGGGAUCCUCUGAUGAUCUCAGGUGAGAACCCAGAAGAGGCUGACUAAUGGAAACAUGAUCUCAGGAGAUUUAACAGGAUCAUACUAAAUCCUGGUUUGGACCGUGGACCAGCAUCCCCUGCAGCAGAUGUUUGCUCCUGGCAUGGCUGAGAAACAGCGUGAGCUCCAUCACUGACAAUCUCGCUCUCAGGAUCCAGCGCCAGCAGCUUGGACUUGGAGAAGCUGUGACAUAAACUCAGCGGGACAGUGGAGUGUAUUCUGCUGCUCCGACAUUAUGGAACAGAUCAGUCAACCUUGUCUGGAGAGGCGCUCGAUAGGAAAGUCAACUGGAUGAAUGUGCGUUUACCGUAGUUACCACAAUGGAUCUACACAUUGUUUGACUUUUUCUAAAUUGAACCUGGAUUAAUAUUUUCCCGUAUAUACAUCUGCUUUCGAUAUCCAGUGUUUAUUCACGCUGUUGCUCAUACACUGCAAUUGUGACAUAUACUGUGUUAUUCUGGAUACAGUAUCAACAAGCGUUGGAACUGUAAAUGGAAAAUAAUCAGAUGUUAUUUUCAUUUUUGGGGCCUAUUUUUACAGACCGAAAGGCAGCGCUUACACCAGUAUGUACACCAGUCGCAUACAAAGUCUUGUGAAGAGCGAAAGAAAUGUUUCCUGUUGUGUAAAAUUUGAGAUUCCUCUAAAGGAUUACUCAUUCACUAGGAAUGUAACUAUCACCUGAUGUCUUCUAAUUGUGAUUACAAAGAAGCCUUUGUAAUCAAGGUGCUUAUGAAUGCAUCUAUUGACACUGCAUUUCAUUUUGACAAUUGGCAGCCUAUGUUAGUUUUGGUUAAUUAUCCUGUCAAGCUGUUUAUUCUGAUAUUGAUUAAUAGCUGUAUAAUUUUGUUGUGUCUGCCCAUUAACGGAAAUAAAGAAAGUGU
Long non-coding RNA from Centropristis striata (black sea bass), 1768 nucleotides. RefSeq lists it as uncharacterized. The record is from RefSeq and is a predicted model, not a curated record. NCBI's taxonomy places the organism in Eukaryota, Metazoa, Chordata, Actinopteri, Perciformes, Serranidae. The transcript is spliced from 5 exons.